This 772-nucleotide long non-coding RNA is filed under the name Penaeus chinensis. RNAcentral describes it as "uncharacterized LOC125024605, transcript variant X3". Lineage: Eukaryota; Metazoa; Arthropoda; Malacostraca; Decapoda; Penaeidae. The record is from RNAcentral.
GUGUGUGUGUGUGUGUGUGUGUAUGUACGUGUGCGUGACCGUGUGUACGUGUGCGUGUGUGUGUAUGUGAAGGCAAGACCCCAAAAAGUUAGUUAGAGUGUGCGUGCGUGUGUGUCUACGAUUGUUUUCUCUCUCUACUUUUUUUUUUCCAAUUGGAGUUGUGGGAGCAUUUCGUUUCCUCAGUCUGGUCCCCUGUCAGUGCGCCGUCCUCUUGCUCAGUGUCCACACCCGCGCUCACGACCCAGUCUCAGGAAGUACAGGCGCGUACCCAUUUUUUUUCGAUGAUGGGUGUGUCCUAGGACUCUUCUCUCUCCAGUGGGCGUGUGCUAGUUCUGUUCUCCCUCCAGUGGGCGUGUAUGGUUGAAGUACACCCGUUGGAAAAUGAGGUAUAUAACCCAAGGACCAAUUAGACCAUACAAUAAAGUGCAAUUAAGGUGUAGAUAAUCUCAACAGGACAGGCCGUUGCACCCAGACACAAGCUAAACGCAUUCAGCUCCUAGGCCUAUCACCAAUAGUUGACAUAAGCCUAUCACCAGCUACUGAGUCAGUUCACACCUUCAGCAUCACUUAUUUGACCGUAAUCGCCAGACAGCUUAAAGCAACUUUACCUCAGGGCAUCUCACGGGACUGACGCCACCUGUCAAGACUCACCUUCGGCGCGGGUAUGUACGCGGGUAUCUACGUCACCCAGAACUACGAGGUGCCGCGGGUAGACGAGCCCUCGAGGCUGUGGGAGAAGGUGAAGGAAUGGGCGGAGUCGCACAAGAAGAAG